GACGAACGCUGGCGGCGUGCCUAACACAUGCAAGUCGAACGAAACGCCACUAAGUGCUUGCACUUGCUGAAGGUGAGUGGCGAACGGGUGAGGAACACAUCGGUAUCUUACCUUUUGGGGGGGGUUAAGAAUCGGAACCUACUGCUAUAACGGAUUAGAACAUAGGAUGACAUGAUCGGAUCUUGGAAGCUGGCGCGAGUUAACGCUCCGAUUUGGACCUAGGUUGUUUUAGCUAGUUGGUGGGGUAAAGGCCUACCAAGGCGAUGAUGCAUAGCCGACCUGAGAGGAUGAUCGGCCACAUUGGAACUGAGACACGGCCCAAACUCCUACGGGAGGCAGCAGUGGGGAAUCUUCGGCAAUGGUCGCAAGUCUGACGGAGCAACGCCGCGUGGGUGAAGAAGGCCUUCGGGUCGUAAAGCCCUGUUGUUGGGGAAGAACAGCGCAUGGAGUAAAUGUUGCGGGUGUGACGGUAUCUAACGAAAAAGCACCGGCUAACUACGUG
RNAcentral lists this ribosomal RNA (502 nucleotides) under uncultured bacterium. RNAcentral describes it as "partial 16S ribosomal RNA". It matches the Rfam family "Bacterial small subunit ribosomal RNA", at positions 28 to 507 of the family's 1533-position model. The record is from RNAcentral.